RNAcentral lists this ribosomal RNA (301 nucleotides) under uncultured bacterium. RNAcentral's name for it is "partial 16S ribosomal RNA". It matches the Rfam family "Bacterial small subunit ribosomal RNA", at positions 509 to 809 of the family's 1533-position model. The record is from RNAcentral.
CAGUAGCCGCGGUAACACGGAGGGUGCAAGCGUUAAUCGGAAUUACUGGGCGUAAAGCGCACGCAGGCGGUCUGUCAAGUCGGAUGUGAAAUCCCCGGGCUCAACCUGGGAACUGCAUUCGAAACUGGCAGGCUAGAGUCUUGUAGAGGGGGGUAGAAUUCCAGGUGUAGCGGUGAAAUGCGUAGAGAUCUGGAGGAAUACCGGUGGCGAAGGCGGCCCCCUGGACAAAGACUGACGCUCAGGUGCGAAAGCGUGGGGAGCAAACAGGAUUAGAUACCCCUGUAGUCCCUGUCUCUUAUAA